CUGUCACAGAACUGGCAUCUGGAGAAGAUCCUCAGGGCUUUUCAUCCUUCCUGGAGGACAUGAUAAGGGACUGCAAGCAUCUCCUAAAAUCUUCUCUAGGUGGCUGGUUAUGGUUCCUUGAGGUAUAAAAUUCCAUUCCACCCAAGCUCCAUGCAUUUCCUGGGCAACUGUUGCACAAGUCUCUUAUGAUCAGAUCUGCAGAGCAGCUAAAUGGUUAUCUCAUAGUACCUUUAUCCAGC
Pelobates cultripes (western spadefoot toad) is the source of this 239-nucleotide non-coding RNA. NCBI's taxonomy places the organism in Eukaryota, Metazoa, Chordata, Amphibia, Anura, Pelobatidae. The record is from the annotation of a GenBank genome assembly.